This 81-nucleotide ribosomal RNA is filed under the name Symbiodinium sp. Zits12. RNAcentral describes it as "partial 18S ribosomal RNA". It matches the Rfam family "Eukaryotic small subunit ribosomal RNA", at positions 1751 to 1831 of the family's 1831-position model. Lineage: Eukaryota; Dinophyceae; Suessiales; Symbiodiniaceae. The record is from RNAcentral.
AAAGUUUCAUGAGCCUUAUCACUUAGAGGAAAGAGAAGUCGUAACAAGGUUUCCGUAGGUGAACCUGCGGAAGGAUCAUUC